GGACGAACGCUGGCGGCGUGCCUAAUACAUGCAAGUAGAACGCUGAAGGAGGAGCUUGCUUCUCUGGAUGAGUUGCGAACGGGUGAGUAACGCGUAGGUAACCUGCCUGGUAGCGGGGGAUAACUAUUGGAAACGAUAGCUAAUACCGCAUAAUAGUAGAUGUUGCAUGACAUUUGCUUAAAAGGUGCAAUUGCAUCACUACCAGAUGGACCUGCGUUGUAUUAGCUAGUUGGUGGGGUAACGGCUCACCAAGGCGACGAUACAUAGCCGACCUGAGAGGGUGAUCGGCCACACUGGGACUGAGACACGGCCCAGACUCCUACGGGAGGCAGCAGUAGGGAAUCUUCGGCAAUGGACGGAAGUCUGACCGAGCAACGCCGCGUGAGUGAAGAAGGGUUUCGGAUCGUAAAGCUCGGUUGUAAGAGAAGAACGAGUGUGAGAGUGGAAAGUUCACACUGUGACGGUAUCUUACCAGAAAGGGACGGCUAACUACGUG
RNAcentral lists this ribosomal RNA (496 nucleotides) under uncultured bacterium. Its description in RNAcentral is "partial 16S ribosomal RNA". It matches the Rfam family "Bacterial small subunit ribosomal RNA", at positions 27 to 507 of the family's 1533-position model. The record is from RNAcentral.